Molecule: ribosomal RNA, 825 nt
Filed under: uncultured Gammaproteobacteria bacterium
Lineage: Bacteria; Pseudomonadati; Pseudomonadota; Gammaproteobacteria
Description: bacterial SSU rRNA
Rfam family: Bacterial small subunit ribosomal RNA
Source: RNAcentral
ACGGUAACGAACUAGCUUGCUAGUUGCUGACGAGUGGCGGACGGGUGAGUAAUGCUUAGGGAUCUGCCUCUGUGUGGGGGAUAACUAUUGGAAACGAUAGCUAAUACCGCAUAAUGUCUACGGACCAAAGAGGGCUUCGGCUCUCGCGCAGAGAGGAACCUAAGCGAGAUUAGCUAGUUGGUGAGGUAAAGGCUCACCAAGGCGACGAUCUCUAGCUGUUCUGAGAGGAAGAUCAGCCACACUGGAACUGAGACACGGUCCAGACUCCUACGGGAGGCAGCAGUGGGGAAUAUUGCACAAUGGGGGAAACCCUGAUGCAGCCAUGCCGCGUGUGUGAAGAAGGCCUUCGGGUUGUAAAGCACUUUCAGUUGUGAGGAAAGGUUAGUAGUUAAUACCUGCUAGCUGUGACGUUAACAACAGAAGAAGCACCGGCUAACUCCGUGCCAGCAGCCGCGGUAAUACGGAGGGUGCGAGCGUUAAUCGGAAUUACUGGGCGUAAAGCGCUCGCAGGCGGUCUGUUAAGCUAGAUGUGAAAGCCCCGCGCUCAACGUGGGAGGGUCAUUUAGAACUGGCAGACUAGAGUCUUGGAGAGGGGAGUGGAAUUCCAGGUGUGGCGGUGAAAUGCGUAGAGAUCUGGAGGAACAUCAAUGGCGAAGGCAACUCCCUGGCCAAAGACUGACGCUCAUGUGCGAAAGUGUGGGUAGCGAACGGGAUUAGAUACCCUGGUAGUCCACACCGUAAACGCUGUCUACUAGCUGUUUGUGGAUUUAAUCCGUGAGUAGCGAAGCUAACGCGAUAAGUAGACCGCCUGGGGAGUACGGCCGC